Molecule: long non-coding RNA, 4406 nt
Organism: Brassica napus (rape)
Lineage: Eukaryota; Viridiplantae; Streptophyta; Magnoliopsida; Brassicales; Brassicaceae
Exons: 3
Source: RefSeq, a predicted model, not a curated record
AUUCCUUACUAUCUUUUCAGUCCUUAAAUUUACUUUAAUUCUCUGAAAGAAAAAGGUGAGAUUAGUGUGGCUAAUGUGAGAAGCGACCAGCCUGGAGAGCAUAAACCAAAGCUAUAGUGCUAUACAUCUUAAACAUUCAAGUCAAUUAACUAUUGUUAAUGUAUUACAUCCUAAUCUUAGCCAGUCCAAUUUAAAUAUUUCAACUUUGGGUAUAUGGUGGAGCUUGAAAAACUAAAGUCAACUUUUUGGACGGUACUAUAAUUUCAUCAUAAAUUAUUUACAUUUAGUAUUUUUUAUGUAGAUGCGAUUGACUUUAGCUCUUGAGUGCGUUAGACAGGCUAACUGGAUCCACCAAACAUGAUUUGUAAAAUUGUAAACAAUCAAACUGACCGUUUGGGAGUAAGAAUUAUAUUACAUAAAGGAUUAACUCUUCUUAAGUUAGAUUAGAAUUGCUCUCAACUCUUCUGUUUAUCUACCAAAGGUCAUAUUGUUCCCAUAAGUCUCUUUGAGACUUUACUUAUAAAAUACAAAUGACCACAGAAUUUUACUAAUUUAGAUAAAUAAUGAGUGGUAAAACCGGAAAUUUCUCUAAGUGUUAUUUACGAAAAAAUUGAAUGCAACCCAUUGUCAACAAUAUACUCAUUAUUCGAUAAAGUAUGGUUAUUGCUAUACUAGAGUCGACCAUGAAAUUUAUAAGGUUUGAAACAGUUAUAGUUUACUGAUCAGAUAAUCUAUAUGGAUGAUUUGAGAUUCGAAUGAUUCAUGCAUAUUAAAAUUUUACAUUUAAGAACCAAGACAAGUUCCUUGGUCUCAUUUUGGUAAGUAAAUCGUAGUUAUGAUCAUCGUUUUUUUUUUUCGCAAAGCAACUCUCAUUUGAUUUGUAAGCAGGACAAACCAAAUCUUAUACAACAAAGUUUUUGAACAACAUACUGCAAAAAGAAAAACAGACCAACCAAACAAAACAAAACAAUCCAAAUCAAAGCAGAUUCGAAACACACAUCAAUCAAAAGCUGUCCCAAAAAUGGAAAGGAAACCUGCACAAGGUAGAUUUCAAGAGUCAUUCGUAUUUAGUUGCCUGAUAUGCUCAAAUAGUUCACGAGUUUCAAUACUUCGUACUGAUAGUCCAAAGUUUUUUUUUUUUUGACUAAUUUGAUAGUCCAAAGUUACGAGCCUCUUCUUGCGAUAGUCUAACAUUCGAUGGAGGUUCCAUGAUGAUUUUCACGUUCUUGCAACUCCCUUCAACCAUUUUCAAAGCCUUUUUACUUAUUUCAAUAGAGUUGCUGAUAUCGAGCUCCCUAAGCUUAAGGCAGUUCGAAGCUAUCUUUGCCAUCGAUACAUCUGUAACAUCUAAGCAGUUCUUAAUCCAUAUAACUUCCAACUUAGGGAAGCUCGAAGCUAUCAUUGUUAAUAACAAUUUGUUAUCGAUGCAUCCGUAACACUUAAGCAGUUGCUAAUACAUAAAACCUCCAAACUAGGGCAUCUGCCAAAGAAAACCAUGCAACUUAAAAAUUGUUAAUUUAAUUUAAAAUAAUUGUCGGUUACACAGAUAAUAAAAAGCCACCACAUGUAGGAGAAAAGAUUGAAUACCAUAUGAAUCAGAUGAUAACAUUCCUAAAUUAGUAGUAUGCGUUAUGCUGCUAAUAUUAUAAAUAUAAUUUUUAUCGCUGGAAAAUUUUGUCAAACGCGAAAUUUAACAUGAUAAAACAUAUCCAAAGGAUCAAAACCAACACGAACACCUACCCUAAACAUUCAAAUGUAAUAUUAUACAACUAAAAAUAUUUGAUAAUAUGUUAAUAAUAUUAUGUGAAUGGUACUACCAAACACAUAUUAAUAAAAGAUGUUAUUAACUAAUUCAUAUGUUUACGGUGUUUUCAAUAUAUUAUUUUUUUAUCUAUAUAUGUAAAAAUCAUUUUCUAUUAUAUAAUAGUGAUAAUAUUAACUUUAAUUGUUUUCUUAAAUAAUUAAUGCUACAAAUAGUUAUGGUAUCUUAAUAUAUAAAGUUGACUUGUGUGAUGUGCACAACCUUCCAUCUCAUCAAGAAGGAAGGGGCGUUUUUCGACACUUAUCCGCUCCAGAGUAGAUCGGUGUGGCCCACGCUCCCUCCCCCUUCUCGCGCAUCGUGUUGUCCGAAUAUAUGGACAUCAGAUAAAUAAUGUUUGGGCUUAAGUAUAUUAAAAUAGGCCCAUAACAUUUUAAGGGUUAUUUGCCCCUGCGUCAUUCUUCUUCUCCCGUGCCUCCACCCUACAAGAGAAACCAUUGAAACCGUGAAGCCAAAACGUCCCAGAAUCAUAACUCUUACAUUUAAUCUGCGUUUUCCAUUCAAAGAUCCACUCUUCCUUCAUAAUGAUUUCGAUCUAUCUCUUCGUUCACCCUCAAACCGCCUCGGAAAUUGGAGCCCUAGCUUCACUUUUCACAAGAGUAGAGAAGAUGCACUGAAAAGCCUCCCUAUCUCUCAGACUACGUUAAACUCUUCAAUGCUUCAUUAAUUCAGCCUUCACCACCUUCGUUGCACAUAAAUACAAACCGUAUGAGAGACGAAGCAUAAUCCGUUUGCUUUUCCUAAUUCCGAGCUUCUGUUUAUUCUCAUUGAAACGUUCAACCAACGUUCAACCAUGGCGACUUUUCAAGUACAUUUCAUGGAGUUCACAUCAGACUACUUUGAUUUUGGAAGGGCCGUCAUGUGAAGAAAGGCGGGGAGCUGAUAGACAUUGAUAUAGUACUUAUUGAUCCGAAGGGGACGCUCAUCAACGCUGCUCUCGUCUUGGACCAAAUGAUAACUGCAGUUUCAUGGAUACAAAAAGGGGCUGCAAAGGCAAUGCCUGAAUCCUGAUGAUGCUAAGCCUCAUUCUAAGGAAAAGAUCAAUGAGCUGUCGAGAAUGGCACCCUCAAGAAAUGUUGAAUUCUUUUCCAUUUCCUGUUUCUACUGUCCAUUUUCUUAAAAUUACCCUUUGAUUUGUGGUUACAUGGAUAUCAUCUGCUAUCUCAGUGACAUGCAUGGACGAAGUUGAAAACGGGAUGGAGCGUGAAAUACAUAGUGGCGACGGUGCUCAUAACAAGGCUGUAGCCAAACCUUUUGGAAAACCAUGUUCCAAAAGCAAGUACAAUUCUAAACACUGUAAAUUGAUCAAUCUGAUCGUCAUUGUCUCUCAUUUAUCACAGUCAACUGAGUUUGAUUGUUCUCGUCAUUGUCUCUCAUUUAUAACAUUGUUGCCUUAAACGUAACCUAGGAGCCGGUUUGUUUGAUUUGAAAACAGGAACAUGUUCAUACUUUUUCCGAAGCUAAAGUGAUGUUUCAUCUCAACAAUUUCAUUAAUUGUUAGUGCUCUCUUAGUUUCAAUCUAAGAGAUUCAUCAUUUUCUAGCGACUCAAACUGUUUCUCAAUUCCCAUUUGUUAUAUGUUUGUGCCGUAGUCUCUUCUUAUUGAAUAUAUAUAACUUGGGCCAAGGUGUUUGUUCAGUAGUCUUAAGGUAAUGCUAACCUCAUACAAUGACUUCGUUUAUGUCACAAUGUUUUAUCUCUUUCUCUUUGGAUUCACUCACAAAAUUUUCCUCCAAUUGUUAUUUUACGGCUCAGAGGAAACUUAAACUCGUCUCAUGUAAAUAUACUUUCAUCCCUUACGUGGUUAGUAAACGACUGAAACAUAUCUGAAAAUUCUUUUUACUUUUGUCUUUUUAGCUCUAUAAUUUGUUACUUCCUUCUCUAGCUUGAAGACACUGAAAACUUAUGAUAAAUACUUAAUGGAAAGCUUCAUGUAUGGAACGGUGAGCACAGUUACUAGCUCUAGCUUCUACGUAUACUUACUAAGAGAUUUCGAGAGCAUUUCGAUCUUUAUCUAAAGAGCCAAACCUUUCUCUUUUCUUAGAUCAGGCUAAUCCAAGAAGGCUACAUGGAGAUUCUACCAGCCUCAGUCUAGGUUUGCUUUCUCAGUUCAGGCCCUACUGUUGUAAGGUUUAAUGGUCAUAAGGCUGCAUUACUCAUGCCAUGAAUAUAUACAGAGAAGCUUGUAAUUCACUCAAGUCUAACCAAGUAGAAGCUGAAAGUAGUCAGAAAAGUUAUUAACCCAUUGACCACAGCCAAACCACGUGUGAACAAUGAUGGUGUAGCCAACACGCUGAUCCAACACCAGUGGCGUCCAUCACUAUUUGUAGUUUGUCAGACACUUGGGAUCUUGCAGUUUCCACAACGAAUAAUCCAAAAGUUGAUUUUAGCAUGGCACAUCAGGUGCUUUAGCUGUGGAUGCUCACCAAGAAGAAUUAUAUCAGUUUUCAGUAAAGUGACUCUUGACAUUCAUGUUUAUUUUGUCUCCAUGCCCUCUUCAGUCCAUCCAUAAUAUGAUCUACUCAGGUUUAUCACCAUAUUUUUUAUCAACCCUCAGGUUUAUCUAUAUAAGUUUUUGAUUACUGUCA